ACGCUGGCGGCGUGCCUAAUACAUGCAAGUAGAACGCUGAGGUUUGGUGUUUACACUAGACUGAUGAGUUGCGAACGGGUGAGUAACGCGUAGGUAACCUGCCUCAUAGCGGGGGAUAACUAUUGGAAACGAUAGCUAAUACCGCAUAAGAGUAAUUAACACAUGUUGGUUAUUUAAAAGGAGCAAUUGCUUCACUGUGAGAUGGACCUGCGUUGUACUAGCUAGUUGGUGAGGUAAAGGCUCACCAAGGCGACGAUACAUAGCCGACCUGAGAGGGUGAUCGGCCACACUGGGACUGAGACACGGCCCAGACUCCUACGGGAGGCAGCAGUAGGGAAUCUUCGGCAAUGGACGGAAGUCUGACCGAGCAACGCCGCGUGAGUGAAGAAGGUUUUCGGAUCGUAAAGCUCUGUUGUUAGAGAAGAACGUUGGUAGGAGUGGAAAAUCUACCAAGUGACGGUAACUAACCAGAAAGGGACGGCUAACUACGUGCCAGCAGCCGCGGUAAUACGUAGGUCCCGAGCGUUGUCCGGAUUUAUUGGGCGUAAAGCGAGCGCAGGCGGUUCUUUAAGUCUGAAGUUAAAGGCAGUGGCUUAACCAUUGUACGCUUUGGAAACUGGAGGACUUGAGUGCAGAAGGGGAGAGUGGAAUUCCAUGUGUAGCGGUGAAAUGCGUAGAUAUAUGGAGGAACACCGGUGGCGAAAGCGGCUCUCUGGUCUGUAACUGACGCUGAGGCUCGAAAGCGUG
Molecule: ribosomal RNA, 747 nt
Filed under: uncultured Streptococcus sp.
Lineage: Bacteria; Bacillati; Bacillota; Bacilli; Lactobacillales; Streptococcaceae
Description: bacterial SSU rRNA
Rfam family: Bacterial small subunit ribosomal RNA
Source: RNAcentral